RNAcentral lists this transfer RNA (87 nucleotides) under Candidatus Poribacteria bacterium. RNAcentral's name for it is "tRNA-Leu". It matches the Rfam family "tRNA". Rfam says of the family: Transfer RNA (tRNA) molecules are approximately 80 nucleotides in length. Their secondary structure includes four short double-helical elements and three loops (D, anti-codon, and T loops). RNAcentral also lists the same sequence under 1 other name. The record is from RNAcentral. Lineage: Bacteria; Candidatus Poribacteria.
GGGCGAGUGUCGGAACUGGUAGACGAGGCAGACUUAGGAUCUGCUGGGGUCUCUCCCGUGAGGGUUCGAGUCCCUCCUCGCCCACCA